This 245-nucleotide ribosomal RNA is filed under the name uncultured bacterium. RNAcentral's name for it is "partial 16S ribosomal RNA". It matches the Rfam family "Bacterial small subunit ribosomal RNA", at positions 524 to 768 of the family's 1533-position model. The record is from RNAcentral.
AACGUAGGUGGCGAGCGUUAUCCGGAUUUACUGGGCGUAAAGCGUGUGCAGGCGGUCGUGCAAGUGGUGUAUGAAAUCGCCCGGCUUAACCGGGCGAGGUUAGGCCAGACUGCGCGACUGGAGUGCGGGAGAGGGGCGUGGAAUUCCGGGUGUAGUGGUGAAAUGCGUAGAGAUCCGGGGGAACCCCAGCGGCGAAGGCGGCGCCCUGGCCCGCAACUGACGCUCAGACACGACAGCAUGGGGAG